UAGAAAUAGAGCUUUCUACGACACACAUUCUAAGACGGUUAUCUGGGACCGUCUUAGAAUGUGGCGCGGUGACAAACUUGUAAUUAAGAUACUCGAAAUUUCUUUUUACAACACACAUUUUAAGACGGUUGUCAAUAACCGCCUUAGAAUAUACUUAGGUGGCAAUUUUGUAAUUAUUGACAAAAACAACAAGGACGGGUUUAAGAGAAAACCGCCUUCGUUUCGUUUCUAGGAAUUAAUUACCAUGUGUGCAGGGCCAGCUUGACGUUCAGCCUUCUUCCUCUCACACACACUCUCUCUACUAAAGUCGCAAACACAAACACUUUGUGAAGUGAAGCAAUGGAGUUUCAGAUUUAGAUCUCGUGCUAAAUCAUCGAUCCGAGAGAGAGAAAGAGAGAGGUGUUGGAUUAUUGAUUCGCCGAAGCAUUUGAGGGUUUAUCACACACCAUUCUCAAACCCUUCGUCAAUCAGACGAAAACCAAAAAAUGCAAACUUCUUCGUCAAUCUCCACAACAUGACCAGCAGUGUGAUUCUCAGAAGAUCCUCUUCCGUAAUCUCGCGCCGCUUCUUCGCCGCUCUUGCCUCCAUCGAGCCGCUUCCUCACAGGUUCCCCGCCGACAAGUAUGGUGUCUCCGACGACGGAUCCCGAACCAUUCACACGAAGCCCGGACCGUUGAAUUUCCACGCGUCGGCGGUUCCUCGUGCGGCGCAGUUCGCCGUCUAGCGCGAUUACUCUAACUACGAGGAGGUUAGCGGCGCGAAUAGUGACGAAGGACUAGAGAUUGCGAAUCUUGGGAUGGAUACGUAGAUCGUAGAUGCUCUGGCCAAGAAAGGGAUUGCAAAGCUCUUCCCCAUUCAGGGGACAGAGAUGGUUAUAUGAGUGAUCCUGGGCAUGAUCUAAAUGAAAGGGGUUCUGUUUCUUCCUUAAAUGCACAUAGGGAGUCUGUUUUUGGUAAGCUUCAAAGGAUAAAUAAAUUGUUCCUAUCUGUGUUUGAAAUUAGUUUCCCUGAGGUUGGAUUUAUGAACAGCUUAAUUGGAAAUGAUCGAAGCUCAAUUUGAUGUUUGGCUUAGGCAAAGCCCUCAGUGAUUUGGAAAUCCAGUACACCUCUGUUUCAAAUUCUUGUUAAAUCAGUCUUAUAUGUGAAUAAUAUCAAGACAACACUCAUUAAUUGACUAUUCUGCACACACGAGAUAUUCUGCAUUACCUAUCUAUUUGUAUUGAAUAUACUCUUAGUUUGUAAUAUGUCACUUCCCUUGAAACAAUCAUACUAGUUUCUAUUCCUGUUCCAUCUUUUUCAAUGUUCUUGUUUGCUAUUUUAUUAUGUUUAAUGAUGCUGUUAUGAAGUAUAUGUCAGAGCUUUUACAAGAAAGGAAGCUCAGAAGCUGUAAUGUCCUAAAAGUUAUGGACGAAGCAAAUUAAAUUUUGAGGUGAUGUCUUUUUAAAAUUAAUAUUUCAUUUCAUUUGUAGUAUUACUUUUAUUUGUGCGUGCUUUCUUUUCCCAUCUUCAUGUGUGCUUUCUUUUAUUUGUGAGAAAGAUGAAGGAGUAUGAUAUUGAUGGCACAUGAGGUUGGCCUCUAUGUCUGGCUUUGCUUCUGCUCUAUUCGGGAUUCUAGAGAAAGUGCAUUGGUGUUUAUGCUGUACUGGACACACCGCAGAAACAAUAAAUAAAUAAUGGGUGCCCUCUAGGGACUGGGAAGACUCAGACCAUACUUGGGAUUCUAAGUACACCAUUUUGCAUGCUACUCCUACAAGAAUGCAUUCAAAGGGAGUUGUACUUGCCUGCAGCCCAAUAGAUGCAGCCUUGGUGGCUACUGCAGGCGGUGAUGACAGACGAUUUCUCAGGAAGAUUGGCCAAGGGGAUUGGGCUUUUGAGCUUCAAGGAGGCUGGUAAGAAGUCCCUGGAAAAAGCUACUGAGCGUGUGAGAUGCCUUGAGGAUGAUUUAGCAAAGUCUAGGUAAGGUUUCAAAUUUGCUAUAUUUUCAGAAAAAUAUUGCAUCGGUGUUCAUAAUUUUUUUAGAAACAUGAUUGCUAUAAGUAAUUCUAGAUUUCUUAUAAAUACUACCAUCAUGAUCACACUCAGCCUUUAAACUACAUUAUUUUGCCAUAUUUUAUGAAUUGGGGGGAAAAUUUUCAUGAAAACAAAUUUUUAAGAACAAAAUUUGCUACAUUGUAAAACUUUAAGAGUAAAAAAUACAGUUAAUUUUUUUUUUCGUUCAUGACUUAAUGUAACACCCUAAAUUUUUCUUCUCACUUAUCUCAUUCUUAGAAUCAUCGAUUUGUUUCAUCGAAUUAGGUGGAUGUGAAUGGUGACAUUGCUAACUUGGCACUCUACUGCACAUCCAUGUCAGCAUUUCUAUUAAAUAUUGAAUGUUAAUUUAACGAAU
Molecule: long non-coding RNA, 2385 nt
Organism: Glycine soja
Lineage: Eukaryota; Viridiplantae; Streptophyta; Magnoliopsida; Fabales; Fabaceae
Exons: 7
Source: RefSeq, a predicted model, not a curated record